Molecule: ribosomal RNA, 547 nt
Filed under: uncultured Bacillota bacterium
Lineage: Bacteria; Bacillati; Bacillota
Description: bacterial SSU rRNA
Rfam family: Bacterial small subunit ribosomal RNA
Source: RNAcentral
GAGUUUGAUCAUGGCUCAGGACGAACGCUGGCGGCGUGCUUAACACAUGCAAGUCGAACGGUCUAUCUCGACUGAUACCUUCGGGUUGAAGACGAGAUCUAGAUAGUGGCGGACGGGUGAGUAACACGUGAAUAAUCUGUCCUCAAGUCUGGGAUAACCUGGCGAAAGUCGGGCUAAUCCGAGGUAAGCUGAGAGUGUGGCAUCACACAAUCAGAAAAGGUGGCUCUGCCAUCGUUUGAGGAGGAGUUCGCGGUAGAUUAGCUAGCUGGUGAGGUAAUGGCUCACCAGGGCAACAAUCUAUAGCUGGUCUGAGAGGACGAUCAGUCACACUGGAACUGAGACACGGUCCAGACUCCUACGGGAGGCAGCAGUGGGGAAUCUUCCACAAUGGGCGAAAGCCUGAUGGAGCAACGCCGCGUGAGUGAAGAAGGUCUUAGGAUUGUAAAGCUCUGUCCUUAGGGAAGAACCGUGGGUAUAGUAAAUGCUACCCACCUGACGGUACCUUUGGAGGAAGCACUGGCUAACUACGUGCCAGCAGCCGCGGUAA